Molecule: ribosomal RNA, 530 nt
Filed under: uncultured bacterium
Lineage: Bacteria
Description: bacterial SSU rRNA
Rfam family: Bacterial small subunit ribosomal RNA
Source: RNAcentral
ACCCAAUAGAUACCCGGGUAGUCCACGCCUUAAACGAUGAGAGCUAGUUGUCAGUAAGCAUGCUUAUUGGUGACGCAGCUAACGCAUUAAGCUCUCCGCCUGGGGAGUACGGCCGCAAGGUUAAAAACUCAAGGAAAUUAGACGGGGGCCCGGCACAAGCGGUGGAGCAUGUGGUUUAAUUUACGAAGCAACGCGCAGAACCUUACCCACCUUUGACAUCCCGUGCUAUCUAGAGAGAUCUAGAGUCCCUUCGGGGUCGCGGAGACAGGUGCUGCAUGGCUGUCGUCAGCUCGUGUCGUGAGAUGUUGGGUUAAGUCCCGCAACGAGCGCAACCCUCGCUUCUAGUUGCCAGCAUUUAGUUGGGCACUCUAGAGGAACUGCCUGCGCCAAGCAGGAGGAAGGCGGGGAUGACGUCAAGUCCUCAUGGCCCUUACAGGUGGGGUCGUACACACGUGCUACAACUGGCGGUGACAAAGGGAUAAUCCCUAAAAGCCGUCUCAGUUCGGAUUGUCCUCUGCAACUACGAGGGC